AGUUUGGAAUUCUGGAAGGAACAGGAAUGUUUCGAAUCUGGCGGAUCUGGCUUCGAAUUCCAGCUGUUACCCAUGCUGGUGACCAUGUUAGUGACUUCUGAAGAACAACUGGCAUGAGCAACUGGGCCUUCAGAACCAGGAUUCUUGGGAGUGGAAAAAUGCCUCUUCUAUCUUUAUCUCCGAAGUCAAAAUUCUGUAGUUGAGAAUGUGAAU
Canis lupus familiaris (dog) is the source of this 213-nucleotide long non-coding RNA. RefSeq lists it as uncharacterized. The record is from RefSeq and is a predicted model, not a curated record. The transcript is spliced from 3 exons. Lineage: Eukaryota; Metazoa; Chordata; Mammalia; Carnivora; Canidae.